GUAAAGCUAUGCAAUCUUAGCAUCUGGGGAUAAAGCUGCCCUAAUCAAUAUAUCAGCAUUCAGUAAGUGAAAUUACUACAUGGAAUGUAAAAGGUAUCAGAUGCUGUGACAAACCUACAUAUAAUGAUCGCCCAACUCUGCCGUUUCCUUUGGUUUUAUAGUGUUUAAUACAUUUCAACUCAGUUGGGUUUUUUUUUGGUUUUAUGGUCCACUGCUUUGCCAUUUUGGUCAAAUCUCACCACUCCUCUGCACUCUCUCCAGUUUCCGCAGUUUGAUUCUGUAAAAAACUCUAAUAAUCUCAUUGUAUACUACCUGUACAGCGCCAAUCAGCAGACAGACACGGUUAGCACAGACAGUUAGCCCAUAUUUUUCUGUUUAUGGAGACCAAAACAGUGCUAACAUUAGAUUUAUCUUCAUCGGGUUUCCAGAAACACGACUGCUAAUGUUGCUCUCUGUCUACCAGAUGUGUGACUUGCAUCUGUGGCGAGAAAAAAAAAAAAAGACAAAAAAUUGCUGCCGCUUUAAAAACCCUCAUAACCAAGCACCAAUCUGUCAAAGGAGAUGUGAGCCCACUUUUAACCUUUAGAAUCUGUAUAUUCCAUAUGAGAAUUUCUAUCAUUAUCGUGAAAAAUAUGCCCUGAUGCAAGUGUCUGUCACUCAACGAUGACGGCACAGUGGAUUUUUCUUGCCGAGGUACAAAGAGCUGCACCUCAGGCUGUUUUACAAUAGCUGGGGUAAAAAAAAAAAAAAACUGAAAGGAUGGAAAUCGAAUGUCCUCAGCCACCUGCCAGUGGAAUCUGGCAGAGAGAGAUAAGAGCUGCUGGACUGUAAUCUACCUCCCCAGCCCCGACUGUCAUACAAACCAAUGCACUUUGGGCCUAAUAAAGUGCUGAUUGUCCGAGUGAGCAUUUGUUCCAAGCAACGGUGAAAACAUGGACAUGGAUAUAUCGAGGUGACGUCUAUUGUGGCAGCUGUGACAAGAGUCAAAACAAAUUUGACAUUUAAUCUUGGCAAAGAAUGACAGUUUUGUGUUCGCUCGCACUACAUUUUUCCUGUUCUUGGGGGGGUUUGCUUCAUGUACAUGCAUGGACAUUUAUAAAGGCUGAAUAUUAGCCUGAGUGUACCAAAGACUUCACUCUCAGUUUAUUUUGCUCCUGUUUUUUUUUUUUUUUUUUUUUUUUUACAUUGCUCAGCUGGUUAUCGAAUGUCAGCCCCAAUUUCCUUAUGUCAAUAUAAUCAAAUGUUUUAGGAUUUAUGCAUGCACUUUGGAUUGGAUUGCACUCUCACUAAUUUAUGCAGUGCUUAAUUCCAACAACUAAAUCUGGUGUUUAGUUGCUUGGAAAAAGACAGAAAGACAGAUUUUCUUGUAUCUUGGCACAGGAUUCAACUACUAAUGUACUCACCCGUGUAAAGAAAACUAAAUUAACACGAAACUCUUAGAUGAAAUCAUCCUGGACUCUGACCUUGUUCCUCACUGUGGUUUAUAUUACACCUCUACAAGGAACUAUUCUGAGAGCUCUUUUCACAACAAACAUUACAAAUGAAUUAAUGCCACAUUUGUAUCUUGAGGGAUGAAAUCACAUCAAAUAUGCAAGUUGUCCUUAAGAUGGCAUCAUUGAACAUUUUUG
This is a long non-coding RNA of Amphiprion ocellaris (clown anemonefish), 1628 nucleotides long. The record is from Ensembl. NCBI's taxonomy places the organism in Eukaryota, Metazoa, Chordata, Actinopteri, Pomacentridae.